Molecule: unclassified non-coding RNA, 562 nt
Filed under: Hevea brasiliensis (rubber tree)
Lineage: Eukaryota; Viridiplantae; Streptophyta; Magnoliopsida; Malpighiales; Euphorbiaceae
Source: RNAcentral
AACCUCUAGUUUGAAACAUCUGGAUUGUUCAGAAGCAAGUUGACCACGUACAGAUUGGAGCUCCUUAUAAAGAUCUGUAUUGCGAGCCUCAGCAUCAGUCAAGUCUUGCUUCAGCUGAAGCGUUUGCAACUUCUCUUUGCUGAGAGAUGACUCUAAGUCUUCCUUCUCAGCUUUGAGGGCAGCUAAAAGUCGUUCACUAGUUUCUUCAACUUUGUUCACCAUUGGUUCAGAUUCAAUGUUGUCCACCACAAUUUCCCUGAUUUUUCCUUCUUGGACUGUUGCAAUAUCUGACUCCAAAUCCCUCGUGGCAUUAGUAGCAUUUUGCAUUGCUGAAACACUAUCAGGUACAGGAGUCUCCAUAGAUUGCAAAGUUGAUCUGUGGCUCGGUUUCAGUACAUUGACCUCAUUACUAUACCGCCCAUUGUAUCCUCCAAAAGAAACUAGGAUAUCUUCACCAUUGUAUGAACACAACACCAAACUCAAGCCCUCACUAGCAAGAGGAACACGCCCUUGAACAGUUGUUACGGUGGACCAACCCAGUGUAGACAUGUUGAGGACAACA